CUAGUUUCUCAUUUUAAAAAAAAGUCCUUCCACUAUCCUUCCAAUGUGAAUAACGUUAUAUUUUUUGACAUUAUAUUCCAUGUGUCAUGCUUUUUUUUCCAUUCAUAACCUGUAUUAAUCCCUUUGUAGUCUCUUUGCAAUCUCCUCAUAGCUUACAUUCUCACUUAACUUUGUAUCACCAACAAACUUGGAUACAUUGGUCAUUGGUAUAUUUAAAUUGUUGUUGCCUGAACACUAAUCCUUGAGAUAUUCCUAUUUAUUACAUUUUACCAACUUGAAAAUGGUUUGUUUAUUCCUAUUCUGUUUCCUAUCUUUCAAUCAAUCUUCAAUCUAUGCUAAUAUAUUACCCAAACCCACUAGCCCUAAUUUUCUGUAAGGAAGUGUGUGCCUUUAACAACUUUUUGACUAAUUUUCUAUUAGAUCCAAUUGUUCAUGGUUAUCUACUCUACUGAUUGCAACCUCAAAGAUCUCAACAUAUUUGUCAAGCAUCGUUUCUCUUUCACAAAUCUGUGUUGACUCAGCCUAAUCACUUGCCCUGUUCCCAUGGUUUUGGAUCUUAUAGGGGCAUGAAUGACAUCGACUACGGUGAAAUUUGUGGUAGGACUGGAUGAGAAUCCAUGAAGAGAAUGCAGGGAGUUCUGGACAAACAAAGUGGUGGUGCAGUUGUCUUGUUUUUGGAGGGAGAGGCAAGCUGAAAUAGCCUCUCUGCCACAAAUUGAAAAAUCUGUCUCAAAAAGCAACCAUUUAUAUGGCAUAGUAACAGGAUGUUCAUGGUUAAGCAGAGAAAAGAAGUCCAGCCUAUAGUGCUUUUUUUAAAACGCAGAAGUCAGUGUCACAAAAAAAGACAGCCCAGCUACUGCGAGACUCUAUUGAAAUCCUUUCCAUGGUAGAAGUUCUUAGGAAUCUGAUGGAGUUUCCGAAUAAUGUUUCUGGUUUAAAAAUGAGAGGUGGACUGUGUCCAAUCUGCAAAGAUUUAAAUACAAGUUAACCACAAUGAAAACUCAACAUCUACCAUCAAUCAAUUAUUGUCAGUAAUUUGGCUUUGUCAACAGAAAAUUCAGUGGAUACAAGAAGACAUUACAUUUCAUUUCCAAGUCCUUAGGCCACAGAAUUUAUUUUUACCCCUUUAAAAAAGUUUCACAGCAGCUCUGUUGAGACAUGUCUUUUUGUUUUGU
Non-coding RNA from Chiloscyllium plagiosum (whitespotted bambooshark), 1175 nucleotides. NCBI's taxonomy places the organism in Eukaryota, Metazoa, Chordata, Chondrichthyes, Orectolobiformes, Hemiscylliidae. The record is from RefSeq and is a predicted model, not a curated record.